Pholiota conissans is the source of this 79-nucleotide non-coding RNA. NCBI's taxonomy places the organism in Eukaryota, Fungi, Basidiomycota, Agaricomycetes, Agaricales, Strophariaceae. The record is from the annotation of a GenBank genome assembly.
GGUGCUAUAGUGUAGUGGUUAUCACUCGGGAUUUUGAAAAUAUCUUCCCGAAACCCAGGUUCGAACCCUGGUAGCACCU